Molecule: small nucleolar RNA, 180 nt
Organism: Ictidomys tridecemlineatus (thirteen-lined ground squirrel)
Lineage: Eukaryota; Metazoa; Chordata; Mammalia; Rodentia; Sciuridae
Source: Ensembl
ACCUUCUUGUAUAAGCACUGUGCUAAAAUUGCAGAAGCUAGGAUCAUAUCUUGGUUUUUGCAAUAAUGCUAGCAGAGUACACACAAGAAGAAAAUUAACUGCACUGUAUCCUAAAAAGACUGGGGUGGACCUCUUUCUUAAUGUCCAGUGUCCUUUGUCUUAAGAUUUGGUGCAACAUAU